GAUGAACGCUGGCGGCGUGCCUAAUACAUGCAAGUCGAGCGAACGGACGAGAAGCUUGCUUCUCUGAUGUUAGCGGCGGACGGGUGAGUAACACGUGGAUAACCUACCUAUAAGACUGGGAUAACUUCGGGAAACCGGAGCUAAUACCGGAUGAUAUUUUGAACCGCAUGGUUCAAAAGUGAAAGACGGUCUUGCUGUCACUUAUAGAUGGAUCCGCGCUGCAUUAGCUAGUUGGUAAGGUAACGGCUUACCAAGGCAACGAUGCAUAGCCGACCUGAGAGGGUGAUCGGCCACACUGGAACUGAGACACGGUCCAGACUCCUACGGGAGGCAGCAGUAGGGAAUCUUCCGCAAUGGGCGAAAGCCUGACGGAGCAACGCCGCGUGAGUGAUGAAGGUCUUCGGAUCGAAAAACUCUGUUAUUAGGGAAGAACAUAUGUGCAAGUAACUGUGCACAUCUUGACGGUACCUAAUCAGAAAGCCACGGCUAACUACGUG
This 497-nucleotide ribosomal RNA is filed under the name uncultured bacterium. RNAcentral's name for it is "partial 16S ribosomal RNA". It matches the Rfam family "Bacterial small subunit ribosomal RNA", at positions 28 to 507 of the family's 1533-position model. The record is from RNAcentral.